CUAGAAUGAUACUUGCUGGAUGGAUUGAAAAAGUGAAGCUUUAGCAGCAAGUAGAAAAACUGAAGCAUCAGGUGCAGUAACUCAUCCAUUGAGUGAAAAGGUUCUUCCCAUGUCCCCACUCUCAGAAAUGCAUUCUGAAAUUUGGAAGAAACAAGACAUUACACAAGUACAUGGCUUCACUACCAAGGAGAAGGGCAAAAUACCAUCUUUGAUUUAAUUCCAGGCUUCAGUCUCUAAUUCUAUGGCAAAGAUUGCUCAUGAAUUAUUUGUUCCUCUGCCAAGCUCAACAGGGAUAACUAGCCUUGCUCUGGGAAUAGGAGUUUGAUGAUUGGGUUGCAUGAACCCUGGAAGCCUGGAAUAUUCAUCUGUUUCUAUUUGCACAUUUUUCUGUCCCUCCUGACUGCAGCACUCCCCAAACCUACAUGGAAGAGCUAAAAUCAAUUCUGGUAAAUCUCAUCAACUUCUAGGACACUGUGGUAGAUUUCCUUCAUAGCAUUAACUGGAAGAAACAUUUUCUUACUCAGUCACUACAUUUGUCAAGAAAUAAUGCUAUGGUUGAAUGCUGCACGAAAUGAUAGAGAUUAACAGUAGCACAAUACUAGACAUUUCUUUUUUGCUAUUCCACUUAAUGCCUGAUGUAACCUCAUGAGGUAGAUGUUGUACCCCUGACUUUAGAGAUAAGAAAACUGAACUUUUGGGAGGUUAAAUAACUUACUUACAGUCACAUAGUCAAGAAAUGGAGAUGGCAAGAGUUCAGGUCUAGGUUUCUCUGAUUGCAAACACUAUAACCUUUCUAUUGCUUCACUCCGUUUGGCUUUAAAGCUGUUAAAUGAGAAUGACCAUAAUACCCCAGAGAACUUCUGUGAGGAUUAAAUGGAUAUGCAAAAGCUCUUGACAUAAUACCUGGCUCAAGACAUUUGGGGAGGCAUUCAACUGGGACUUGCAGGAUUCACUUUCAAUGUGGCUCACCCACAUGGCCAGGAGUGCAGACCAGGACCAGCUGUUUUUCUCCACAUGGGUUUCUUCAAGGACUUCUUGGGCUUCUUCAUAGCAUGCCAGCUGGAUUUCGUGAGUAAGCUUCUUAAGAGACAAAAAAUGGAGGCUGCCAGUUUAAUAAAGCCUGUGCCAGAAACUGGUACAGCAUCACUUCCUCCAUACUCUUUUAGUCAAGCAGUCAUAGGGCCCAGAUUCAAGGAGAAAAACAUAAACCCUACCUUUUGAUAGAAAUAAUUUUCACUUGAAAACUUUGGGGGCAUGUUUCAAAAGUAUUACAUCUCUCAAACCUCCUGGCAGUCAAUGCCAGAGCCAGGAUUUAACUGCAGGUUUAUUUGAUGCCAAAGCCCAUUUUACAAAGACUAGAACAGACCUGAGGAGAAAUAUAGCAGGUUUAAGUAAUUUCCCAUGGGGAAAUGAAAACUCUGAAUCCAAAGUCUUUAAAUUAGCUACUACGCUAUGGUUCACAAGAUGAAAUGGAGUGCUGCAUGGCAGUACAUUUUUAAAUUGUGAUGCUUUCUAUCAAUAAACUGUUUGUAAAUGAAGUAAA
Molecule: long non-coding RNA, 1543 nt
Organism: Nomascus leucogenys (northern white-cheeked gibbon)
Lineage: Eukaryota; Metazoa; Chordata; Mammalia; Primates; Hylobatidae
Exons: 3
Source: RefSeq, a predicted model, not a curated record